AUUGAACGCUGGCGGCAUGCUUUACACAUGCAAGUCGAACGGUAACAGGCCGCAAGGUGCUGACGAGUGGCGAACGGGUGAGUAAUGCAUCGGAACGUGCCCAGUCGUGGGGGAUAACUACUCGAAAGAGUAGCUAAUACCGCAUACGAUCUAUGGAUGAAAGCGGGGGACCGUAAGGCCUCGCGCGAUUGGAGCGGCCGAUGUCAGAUUAGGUAGUUGGUGGGGUAAAGGCUCACCAAGCCAACGAUCUGUAGCUGGUCUGAGAGGACGACAGCCACACUGGGACUGAGACACGGCCCAGACUCCUACGGGAGGCAGCAGUGGGGAAUUUUGGACAAUGGGCGCAAGCCUGAUCCAGCAAUGCCGCGUGCAGGAAGAAGGCCUUCGGGUUGUAAACUGCUUUUGUACGGAACGAAACGGCUCUGGUUAAUACCCGGGGCUAAUGACGGUACCGUAAGAAUAAGCACCGGCUAACUACGUG
RNAcentral lists this ribosomal RNA (481 nucleotides) under uncultured bacterium. Its description in RNAcentral is "partial 16S ribosomal RNA". It matches the Rfam family "Bacterial small subunit ribosomal RNA", at positions 30 to 507 of the family's 1533-position model. The record is from RNAcentral.